This 460-nucleotide ribosomal RNA is filed under the name uncultured bacterium. Its description in RNAcentral is "partial 16S ribosomal RNA". It matches the Rfam family "Bacterial small subunit ribosomal RNA", at positions 338 to 795 of the family's 1533-position model. The record is from RNAcentral.
CCUACGGGUGGCAGCAGUGAGGAAUAUUGGUCAAUGGGCGGGAGCCUGAACCAGCCAAGUCGCGUGAGGGAAGACGGUCCUACGGGUUGUAAACCUCUUUUGCCGGGGAGCAACGGGGUCCUUGCGAGGGCCCGAUGAGAGUACCCGGAGAAAAAGCAUCGGCUAACCCCGUGCCAGCAGCCGCGGUAAUACGGAGGAUGGGAGCUUUAGCCGGAUUUAUUGGGUUUAAAGGUUGCGUAGGCGGGCUGUUAGGUCAGCGGUAAAAUGUCGGGGCUCAACCCCGGCCUGCCGUUGAAACUGGCGGCCGCGAGUGGGCGAGAAGUAUGCGGAAUGCGUGGUGUAGCGGUGAAAUGCAUAGAUAUCACGCAGAACUCCGAUUGCGAAGGCAGCAUACCGGCGCCCUACUGACGCUGAGGCACGAAAGCGUGGGUAUCGAACAGGAUUAGAUACCCGUGUAGUC